GUGUCAGCCGCCGCGGUAAGACAGAGGCCUCAAGCGUUAGGCGGAAUCACUGGGCUUAAAGCGUGUGUAGGCGGAUCGUUAAGUGUCUUGUGAAAUCCCACGGCUCACCCGUGGAACUGCUGGGCAUACUGGCGAUCUUGGACCAACUAGGGGCAACUGGAACAAGCGGUGGAGCGGUGAAAUGCGUAGAUAUCGCUUGGAACGCCAAAGGUGAAAACAGGUUGCUGGGGUUGUGCCGACGCUGAGGCACGAAAGCCAGGGUAGCGAACGGGAUUAGAUACCCCCGUAGUCC
This 292-nucleotide ribosomal RNA is filed under the name uncultured bacterium. Its description in RNAcentral is "partial 16S ribosomal RNA". It matches the Rfam family "Bacterial small subunit ribosomal RNA", at positions 505 to 796 of the family's 1533-position model. The record is from RNAcentral.